RNAcentral lists this ribosomal RNA (428 nucleotides) under uncultured Anaeromyxobacter sp. RNAcentral describes it as "bacterial SSU rRNA". It matches the Rfam family "Bacterial small subunit ribosomal RNA", at positions 355 to 774 of the family's 1533-position model. Lineage: Bacteria; Pseudomonadati; Myxococcota; Myxococcia; Myxococcales; Anaeromyxobacteraceae. The record is from RNAcentral.
UGGGGAAUCUUGCGCAAUGGGCGAAAGCCUGACGCAGCAACGCCGCGUGUGUGAUGAAGGUCUUCGGAUCGUAAAGCACUGUCGCGAGGGACGAAUAAGGGGCGGGCUAACACUCCGUUCCGAUGACGGUACCUCGAGAGGAAGCACCGGCUAACUCUGUGCCAGCAGCCGCGGUAAUACAGAGGGUGCAAGCGUUGUUCGGAAUUAUUGGGCGUAAAGCGCGUGUAGGCGGCUUUGUAAGUUGGGUGUGAAAGCCCUCGGCUUAACCGAGGAAGUGCGCCCAAAACUGCAUCGCUUGAGUACCGGAGAGGGUGGCGGAAUUCCCGGUGUAGAGGUGAAAUUCGUAGAUAUCGGGAGGAACACCAGCGGCGAAGGCGGCCACCUGGACGGAUACUGACGCUGAGACGCGAAAGCGUGGGGAGCAAACA